Molecule: ribosomal RNA, 401 nt
Filed under: Salmonella enterica
Lineage: Bacteria; Pseudomonadati; Pseudomonadota; Gammaproteobacteria; Enterobacterales; Enterobacteriaceae
Description: bacterial SSU rRNA
Rfam family: Bacterial small subunit ribosomal RNA
Source: RNAcentral
AGAUGUGCCCAGAUGGGAUUAGCUUGUUGGUGAGGUAACGGCUCACCAAGGCGACGAUCCCUAGCUGGUCUGAGAGGAUGACCAGCCACACUGGAACUGAGACACGGUCCAGACUCCUACGGGAGGCAGCAGUGGGGAAUAUUGCACAAUGGGCGCAAGCCUGAUGCAGCCAUGCCGCGUGUAUGAAGAAGGCCUUCGGGUUGUAAAGUACUUUCAGCGGGGAGGAAGGUGUUGUGGUUAAUAACCGCAGCAAUUGACGUUACCCGCAGAAGAAGCACCGGCUAACUCCGUGCCAGCAGCCGCGGUAAUACGGAGGGUGCAAGCGUUAAUCGGAAUUACUGGGCGUAAAGCGCACGCAGGCGGUCUGUCAAGUCGGAUGUGAAAUCCCCGGGCUCAACCUG